RNAcentral lists this ribosomal RNA (442 nucleotides) under uncultured bacterium. Its description in RNAcentral is "partial 16S ribosomal RNA". It matches the Rfam family "Bacterial small subunit ribosomal RNA", at positions 338 to 795 of the family's 1533-position model. The record is from RNAcentral.
CCUACGCGAGGCAGCAGUGGGGGAUAUUGCACAAUGGGGGAAACCCUGAUGCAGCGACGCCGCGUGGGCGAAGAAGUAUUUCGGUAUGUAAAGCCCUAUCAGCAGGGAAGAAGAAAUGACGGUACCUGAGUAAGAAGCACCGGCUAAAUACGUGCCAGCAGCCGCGGUAAUACGUAUGGUGCAAGCGUUAUCCGGAUUUACUGGGGGUAAAGGGAGCGCAGGCGGCACGGCAAGCCUGAUGUGAAAGCCCGCGGCCCAACCGCGGGACUGCAUUGGGAACUACCGGGCUGGAGUGCCGGAGAGGUAGGCGGAAUUCCUAGUGUAGCGGUGAAAUGCGUAGAUAUUAGGAGGAACACCAGUGGCGAAGGCGGCCUACUGGACGGUGACUGACGCUGAGGCUCGAAAGCGUGGGGAGCAAACAGGAUUAGAUACCCGGGUAGUC